RNAcentral lists this non-coding RNA (109 nucleotides) under Clostridium sulfidigenes. RNAcentral describes it as "TPP sequence". It matches the Rfam family "TPP riboswitch aptamer (THI element)". From Rfam's summary of the family: Vitamin B(1) in its active form thiamin pyrophosphate (TPP) is an essential coenzyme that is synthesised by coupling of pyrimidine and thiazole moieties in bacteria. The previously detected thiamin-regulatory element, thi box was extended, resulting in a new, highly conserved RNA secondary structure, the THI element, which is widely distributed in eubacteria and also occurs in some archaea. The record is from Rfam by way of RNAcentral. Lineage: Bacteria; Bacillati; Bacillota; Clostridia; Eubacteriales; Clostridiaceae.
AUUAAAUAUUUAGGGAGCUUGUAUAACAGGCUGAGAGGAAGCAAAAAGUAGCUUCGACCUAUAACCUGAUUUGGAUAAUGCCAACGUAGGGAAUUACAUUAAAAAUAUU